AUGGAUACCAGGAGGUUCGGCUCCUCCUCGUCUUCCUCGUCACAUUCCUCCUCACGAUCUUCUUCCCACUCCUCCGGCUCUCCGGCGCUGCUCGGCGUCAAGGCCGAGCCCGCGACGGAGACGCCGCUCGACCGGCGCACUCGCAGCGCCGGCAUCGUCAUCAAUGAGGGCGGCCGGCGCGCCCCCUCGUCGGCUCCUCCGCGCUUCAUCAAGCCAAAGACGGAGCCGGGACUCGCGGCCGUGAAAACGGAGCCGGGGCUCCCCGCCGUGAAGACGGAGCACGGCGACGUGAAGCUCGACGACGAGGCGGCCCUGAAAUGGGCGCACAAGGACUUCCUCAAGAUGGAGAGGGAGCGGCAGUGCGUCGCCCUUUGGCGCUUCGAGCAGCGCCGCCGGGGCCAUGACGAAGGAGGAGUUGUCGUCCUCGACGACAGCGACGACGACGACGCACCGCCUCCGCCGCCACCAGUCCACCAUGGCUUCGCCGGGCAGGGCUCUAGCAGGGACGACCACGUCAAAGAGGAGAAGGCCGACGAUGAUGGCGGCGGCGACGAUGGCGACUACUCCGUGUUCAGCGAUUUCCUUUUUUAG
This 591-nucleotide ribosomal RNA is filed under the name Triticum aestivum (bread wheat). RNAcentral describes it as "partial small subunit ribosomal RNA". Lineage: Eukaryota; Viridiplantae; Streptophyta; Magnoliopsida; Poales; Poaceae. The record is from RNAcentral.